RNAcentral lists this transfer RNA (76 nucleotides) under Omnitrophica bacterium RIFCSPHIGHO2_02_FULL_45_28. RNAcentral describes it as "tRNA-Ile". It matches the Rfam family "tRNA". From Rfam's summary of the family: Transfer RNA (tRNA) molecules are approximately 80 nucleotides in length. Their secondary structure includes four short double-helical elements and three loops (D, anti-codon, and T loops). Lineage: Bacteria; Pseudomonadati; Candidatus Omnitrophota. RNAcentral also lists the same sequence under 1 other name. The record is from RNAcentral.
GGGCCCAUAGCUCAGUUGGUAGAGCACCGUGUUGAUAACGCGGGUGUCAGUGGUUCGAGCCCACUUGGGCCCACCA